AUUUAAAAAUCGGAGGAAGAUUUCUGGUAAAAAGUUGUUUACAGAUAAAAAUAUAAUAAUAAUAAUAAAAAACAUCAUUGUAAAACCAAUAGACUUUUAAUCACCUCAUAAUCUAAAAACGAGUUUCACGAUUGCACAAUAUUAUUAUAACAUACUUGAGAAUUUAAAUAUUUUUAUAUUCUGAAUGGAGCGAAGAAAUUUAUAGUUUUACAAAGAUGUUAAUUUUUUUUUUUUUUAUCUGUGCGCAACUUUUCAACCAAAAGACUUAUUCGGAUUUCUACGGGUAGUAUUUCUCCUGAAAGUAAAUCGGCGUGGGGUGGUACUUUAGGGUGGUCAUUUUUUGAUUUUCUCAAUAGUUUUCCUAGAAAAUGUGAAAACCCGGGAUAAAAUAUGGAAAAACCGGGGAAAACGUAGGAAAACAGGGAAAAUCGGUACAACGUUAAACAAAUUUUAUUAAUAAAAAUGUAUAAAGCCUUUUUAAUUAUUUUACUACAAAAUGACAUAUAUAUCGUUGAAAAAGCAUCACUAUCAACUGAACUCCGCUCAGAAUCGUUUUUUUCGUAAGCAAUGGUUUAUCGUUGUUUACAGAUAUACAUUAAAUUCUUGUCUAUAUCUUACCUUCCCAACUUCCCACCUAUACUAAUGGCUAUACCUGUCCUCAGUUUCUUUCCUUUCUUUUUUUGUUUAGCAUUUUGAUGAGAGACUUGCAGAUUACCUAUAAUACAAGAUAACUGCUAUUAUAAUCUUUUUUUAUCGAAAACCGCAGCAAGUACACGCGAUUGAAACGAUUAAAAUUAUAGUAUGGAUACCUACCGAAAGAUGGUUUUCAUAGAUUAACCGACUGUCACUGUACUUACUUUACUCGUGGAACAAUGUUUCGAUAAUAUUUUAUAUCUAUAAAAUAUAAAUGUCCCAUGACCUGAUUUGAUUGCGUUACAUACGAAAAUCGUGUCAUUGCUUAUUGGAACGCCGCCGUCGUCAUCGCUUUUAAGUCGUUUUAGAAAGCUGUAUUUUUAACGGAUAUUAUAAAGUAUUGUAAAAGGCGUAUAUGUUAUAAAAGUAAAUUCCCUAGGUAGUAAAUCAUUUAAAUAAAAAUUGUAAAAAAAAUC
Non-coding RNA from Cinara cedri, 1109 nucleotides. NCBI's taxonomy places the organism in Eukaryota, Metazoa, Arthropoda, Insecta, Hemiptera, Aphididae. The record is from the annotation of a GenBank genome assembly.